UACGUAGGGGGCAAGCGUUGUCCGGAAUCAUUGGGCGUAAAGGGCGCGUAGGCGGGCAUAUAAGUCUGAUGUGAAAGUGCGGAGCUUAACUCCGUAAAGCAUUGGAAACUGUGUGUCUUGAGGACAGGAGAGGAAAGUGGAAUUCCACGUGUAGCGGUGAAAUGCGUAGAGAUGUGGAGGAACACCAGUGGCGAAGGCGACUUUCUGGACUGUAACUGACGCUGAGGCGCGAAAGCGUGGGGAGCGAACAGG
RNAcentral lists this ribosomal RNA (252 nucleotides) under uncultured bacterium. RNAcentral's name for it is "partial 16S ribosomal RNA". It matches the Rfam family "Bacterial small subunit ribosomal RNA", at positions 524 to 776 of the family's 1533-position model. The record is from RNAcentral.